This 529-nucleotide ribosomal RNA is filed under the name Bombus robustus. Its description in RNAcentral is "partial large subunit ribosomal RNA". The stretch from base 377 to 529 matches the Rfam family "Bacterial large subunit ribosomal RNA", at positions 2473 to 2626 of the family's 2925-position model. The record is from RNAcentral. Lineage: Eukaryota; Metazoa; Arthropoda; Insecta; Hymenoptera; Apidae.
GGCUUAAUGAUUAUAAUUUUAAGUCAAUCUGCCCAAUGAUAUUAUAUUAAAUGGCUGCAGUAUAAUUAACUGUACAAAGGUAGCAUAGUCAAUUGUUUUUUAAUUGGAAACUGGAAUGAAAGAAUUAAUGAGAUAUAUACUGUCUCAUAUAUAUGUUAUUAAGUUAAAUUUUUAGUUAAAAUGCUGAAAUAGAUUUAUGGGACGAUAAGACCCUAUAGAAUUUUAUAUUAAAAUUUAAAAUAUAUUAAUUUUUAGGUUUUAAUAUUUGAUUGGGAGGAUUAAUAAAUUUAAUUAACUUUAUUUUAAAAAUAUACUUUGAUUUAAGGAUUAUAUUAAUGAUUUUGUAUUAUAGAUUAUAAGAAAAAAUUACCUUAGGGAUAACAGCGUAAUAUCUUUUUAAAGACCGAAUUUAUAACGAUGAUUGCGACCUCGAUGUUGAAUUAAGAUAAAUUUUAAAUGGAGAAGUUUAAUGAUUAAGUCUGUUCGACUUUUAAAAUCUUACAUGAUUUGAGUUCAAAUCGACGUGAGU